AGAACGCUGGCGGCAGGCCUAACACAUGCAAGUCGAGCGGAUGAAGGGAGCUUGCUCCUGGAUUCAGCGGCGGACGGGUGAGUAAUGCCUAGGAAUCUGCCUGGUAGUGGGGGAUAACGUCCGGAAACGGGCGCUAAUACCGCAUACGUCCUGAGGGAGAAAGUGGGGGAUCUUCGGACCUCACGCUAUCAGAUGAGCCUAGGUCGGAUUAGCUAGUUGGUGGGGUAAAGGCCUACCAAGGCGACGAUCCGUAACUGGUCUGAGAGGAUGAUCAGUCACACUGGAACUGAGACACGGUCCAGACUCCUACGGGAGGCAGCAGUGGGGAAUAUUGGACAAUGGGCGAAAGCCUGAUCCAGCCAUGCCGCGUGUGUGAAGAAGGUCUUCGGAUUGUAAAGCACUUUAAGUUGGGAGGAAGGGCAGUAAGUUAAUACCUUGCUGUUUUGACGUUACCAACAGAAUAAGCACCGGCUAACUUCGUGCAGCCCCGCCGCGGUA
This 498-nucleotide ribosomal RNA is filed under the name Pseudomonas aeruginosa. Its description in RNAcentral is "bacterial SSU rRNA". It matches the Rfam family "Bacterial small subunit ribosomal RNA", at positions 31 to 522 of the family's 1533-position model. The record is from RNAcentral. Lineage: Bacteria; Pseudomonadati; Pseudomonadota; Gammaproteobacteria; Pseudomonadales; Pseudomonadaceae.